AACGGGGCAAUUCCUUCGGGGAUUGCUUAGUGGCGAACGGGUGAGUUAACGCGUGAGAAACCUGCCUUUCAUGGGGGGACAACAGUUGGAAACGACUGCUAAUACCGCAUAAUGUUAUUUGGGGGCAUCCCUGAAUAACCAAAGAUUUAUUGCUGAAAGAUGGUCUCGCGUCUGAUUAGCUAGUUGGUGGGGUAAACGGCCUACCAAGGCGACGAUCAGUAGCCGACCUGAGAGGGUGAUCGGCCACAUUGGGACUGAGACACGGCCCAAACUCCUACGGGAGGCAGCAGUGGGAAUAUUGCACAAUGGGGGAAACCCUGACCCAGCAACGCCGCGUGAAGGAAGAAGGGCCUUCGGGUUGUAAACUUCUUUUACCAGGGACGAACGAAUGACGGUACCUGGAGAAAAAGCAACGGCUAACUACGUG
Molecule: ribosomal RNA, 427 nt
Filed under: uncultured bacterium
Lineage: Bacteria
Description: bacterial SSU rRNA
Rfam family: Bacterial small subunit ribosomal RNA
Source: RNAcentral